RNAcentral lists this ribosomal RNA (613 nucleotides) under uncultured Russula. RNAcentral describes it as "eukaryotic LSU rRNA". The stretch from base 186 to 339 matches the Rfam family "5.8S ribosomal RNA". The record is from RNAcentral. Lineage: Eukaryota; Fungi; Basidiomycota; Agaricomycetes; Russulales; Russulaceae.
ACAACGGGGGUGCGAGGGCUGUCGCUGACCUUUCAAAAGGUCGUGCACGCCCGAGCGCUCUCACACAUCCAUCUCACCCCUUUGUGCAUCACCGCGUGGGUCCCCCUUUGCAGGAGGGCUCACGUUUUCACACAAAACUUGAUACAGUGUAGAAUGUUAUUUUUGCGGUCACACGCAAUCAAUACAACUUUCAACAACGGAUCUCUUGGCUCUCGCAUCGAUGAAGAACGCAGCGAAAUGCGAUACGUAAUGUGAAUUGCAGAAUUCAGUGAAUCAUCGAAUCUUUGAACGCACCUUGCGCCCCUUGGCAUUCCGAGGGGCACGCCCGUUUGAGUGUCGUGAAAUCAUCAAAAACCCUUUUCUGUUUACCGAAAAGGAUUUUUGGACUUGGAGGUUUAAUGCUUGCCUUUCACUUUUGAAAGCGAGCUCCUCACAAAUGAAUUAGUGGGGUCCGCUUUGCUGGUCCUUGACGUGAUAAGAUGUUUCUACGUUUUGGAUUUAGCACUGUCCCUUUGGAUUCCUGCUCCUAACUGUCCAACGGACAAACGAUGGUGCUCCGGUCGCCGCCGUCUACAUUGGCGGGGGAGGGCUGGACCCACGAAAGAAACCUUGA